UACGAAGGGGGCUAGCGUUGCUCGGAAUUACUGGGCGUAAAGGGCGCGUAGGCGGCUUUGUUAGUCAGGCGUGAAAAUCCUGGGCUCAACCUGGGGACUGCGCUUGAUACGGCAGGGCUAGAGGACGGAAGAGGCUCGCGGAAUUCCCAGUGUAGAGGUGAAAUUCGUAGAUAUUGGGAAGAACACCGGUGGCGAAGGCGGCGAGCUGGUCCGUUACUGACGCUGAGGCGCGACAGCGUGGGGAG
Molecule: ribosomal RNA, 245 nt
Filed under: uncultured bacterium
Lineage: Bacteria
Description: partial 16S ribosomal RNA
Rfam family: Bacterial small subunit ribosomal RNA
Source: RNAcentral